AUCGCGAGGUGUGGAUGAGAAGAAGAGAUAGCGAAAUCGUAGCCCUACGAACAGAAACCCGAUAUUAAGGCGUACAUGGUGGGUGAAUUGACCACAAGCAAUGAAGCCCAAAAGGUAGCCGUAACCCAUAUGCGUAAAUCGGGAGGGUAGACGAGGAAAGAAU
This 163-nucleotide non-coding RNA is filed under the name uncultured Blautia sp. The record is from RNAcentral. Lineage: Bacteria; Bacillati; Bacillota; Clostridia; Lachnospirales; Lachnospiraceae.